CCGAGAGUCACGUUGAUUUAACCACAGUCCCAGGCUACCAAGUGUCCAAGCUGUGCUGCUUCCAAGCUGCCUGACCCAGACCUGAGCUCUUAACCUCUCAAUGGGCAUCCAGGUCGAAAGCAGAAUCUCUGGCUCAAGUGCCGACUGCCCAGCUGUUUCAGAACUCCACCAUGCACCCAACUGCUCCUCCAGGACUUCCCUACGGAUGUGUUGCAGGCUCUGAAACGUCACACAUCCACGCCGCAUCCUCAUCCCACACAUGCUCCUGCUUGUCCCUGGCAUCUGCCAUUCUCAGUGCCAUUCACUAGCCUAUAUGAUGCCUUCGAAUCAGAGGAAGUUACCUCUCCCUCCAGGGAUACGGGCCCACACCUGGUCUCAGGGACCCUUUAGUGGAGGCACAGUCUAUAUAGCCCAGAGCAGUGCCCCUGAUGCCAUCGUCUUCCAAUUUGCUCAGAGCAGACACUGGGAUUCAUCCUUAAUAUCUCUCUCUUCUCUCUCUCUCUCUCUCUCUCUCUCUCGCGGAGGCCCCACUGCCCUUGCAUUCCACAGGAAGUCCCAGUUGCUGGCAUGACCUGAGAGGUUCCUGGGACCACGCCAUGGAAAUGCGUCCGGUCCCAGUGUGACGGGGAAGAGCCGCGCCUGAAGCUCAACUUCCGAGGCUCUCAUCAAUCUACGCUUCCUUUGGAGCGUGCAGCCACCAGGUGGCAGCCGAGGCCACGGGCAGACAGAAAAGCUCCCGAAACUGAAGGACUGCCAGGCAGCAGAGUUCCGGAGGGCUCCCAGGACCUUCAACCAGAAAGAGACAGAGCAUAUGCGCAUAUCAGCCCUGCAAGGAAUGUACUAUAGAGCCAAUUUUACCGGCAAAGGAAUGGAAGAUCUGAAAGGCUAGGCGAUCCCACAAGCAUCGAGGAGCAGGCUGGAAUUUGAACCAAUCGGCAUGAUUCCCAAGCUCAAGCUUUUGGCCACCCCUGCACUGCCAGGGACAAAAAAAAAAAAAAAAAAAAACCCUGGGAGGAGAGCCAAGCUAGGGAGUCAAGACCCUCCAGCCAGGUCUGGAUGGGAGGCAGGUGCCUCCACCCUGGUCCCAGAGCAAGUUCUGCUGGCUUCAGCCACCUGACUUCCCUGUGAAGGUGGGUAGAGGCCAGAGCAGACUGUGUGUGAUUCUGGCCCCAGCCCCAGCACCUCUACCCCCACCUUUACUACCCCUAGGCUGCGGGAAGAGGCUUUGCCCAGCAAUAGUCCUGAUCUAAUGGAUCCUUGAAGCACA
RNAcentral lists this long non-coding RNA (1267 nucleotides) under Homo sapiens (human). RNAcentral describes it as "non-protein coding LINC00853:3". The record is from RNAcentral. Lineage: Eukaryota; Metazoa; Chordata; Mammalia; Primates; Hominidae.